UAUUAUUACUAGAGAUGGAGUUUCACCACCUUGACCAGGCUGGUCUGGAACUCCUGACCUCAAGUGAUCUGGCUCUCGGCUUCCCACAGUGCUGGGAUUACAGGCGUGAGCCACCACACCCGGCCCUGACAUUUACCUGUUAACUGACAAUUCCAUACAGCUUACUGUGAUUAGGGAAAUACUUAGAUUUGUUUCCACCAUUAAUUUGCUCAGUUUUGUGUCUGAUUUUUUUGAGAGGGGGUCUCACUCUGUUGCCCAGGCUGGAGUGUAGCGGCGUGAAUGCCUACAGCUCACUGCAGUUUUGACCUCCCAGGCUCAGAUGAUCCUCCCACCUCAGCCUCCCUAGUGGCUGGAACUACAGGCAUGCUCCACCAUGCCCGCCUUAUUUUUUUGUAGAGAUGGGGCCCUAUGUUGCCCAGGCUGGUUUCAAACUCCUGGGCUUAAGCCAUCCACCCACCUUGGCCUCCCAAAAUGCUAGGAUUACAGGCGUGAGCCACUGCGCUAAGGCCCAGCCUGAUUUCUUAUUUUUUAAUUGACAGGAGUUUCUGCUCAUUUAUUUAUUUAUUUUAUGGGGUCUCACUGUGGUCCAGGCUGGAGUACAGUGCCCAAUCAUAGCUCACUGUUGCCUCAAACUCCCGGUCUGAGGAUCCAAACUCAGAUCCUCCUGCCUCAGUCUCCCAAGCAGCUGGGACUACAUUUGAAAUUACAGCGUGUUUUUUUUGUUAUUCGAUUGGAGAUGUAUAGACUGGUUACACUCUUUUAGUAAUUAACAUUAAAUUACAGUAUGCACAUUUAACUAUCUUACAUCCUCUUCCCAACAACAGGAGGGUCUUAGAACAUUUCCAUCCCUUCUAAUUUACACGCUCCUGCUGUCCGGCAUUUUAGCUGACGUCACUCUUACGUGCAUAUUCAUAUUUGUAAUUCUGUUUGCCACUGCAUCUUACAUCUACGACCAUCACUCAGAUCAUUUUCCUUUUUUUAUUGAGAUGGAGUUUUGCUCUUUUUGCCCAGGCUGGAGUGCAAUUGCAUGAUCUAGGCUCACUGCAACCUCUGCCUCCCCAGUUCAAGGGAUUCUCCUGCCUCAGCCUCCUGAGCAGCUGGGAUUACAGGUGUGCACCACCACACCCAGUUAAUUUUUUAUUUUUAGUAGGCACAGGAUUUCACCGUGUUGGCCAGGCUAGUCUCGAACUCCUGACCUCAGGUGAUCCAUCUGCCUCAGCCUCCCACAGGGAUUACAGACGUGAGCCACCGCACCCAGCCCUAUGUUGCCUAGGCUGGUCUUGAACUCCUGGGUUCAAGUGAUCCUUCCUCCUAGGCCUCCAAAAGUGUCCCAAAAGUUCUUUAAGAAGGCCUGCCUAUUUGUGCGUGGUAGUAUGUAUCCUACAGCUUUCUCAUCACUGCGACUGUGUGACUCCUCUAAACACCUCCUACAUACCUGUCCUCUCACCUGGAUGGGGAGUUUCGGGAUCUGAGUUCUGGCCGACACCAGCUGCCCUCAGUCAGCCGACUCCCCUUGUUUGCUUGGAGAUCUUUGACUGCAAGCUGAAUGCCUGAUUUAUGAGCAGGGCUGAGGCUCAGAAGGGCAAGUUCCUUCAGGGGACAGGUGCUUUGACCUCUGCGGGCACCUGGAAGGUCACCUUCAGCUGACCCGAGGGUCCUGGCUCAGCAUGGGAGACAGGCUCAUCUUCCCACCUCACCACUGGCCCAGGAGUCGGGGGUUAGUUAACUGUGGGGCCGCCAAAUCUGCCCCUACAGGCUUCACAACCCUAAGUUAAUGCAUUUUAACAAAAUCAGUGCCUGUAAGAGCCAUGAAAGCAAUGCGGCUGUCUUGGAAAUGGCAGCGACAGGCCCAGAAUUCUUCCCAGUCAAGCCUUACCUGGAGCAGAGAACUGCAGGAGGCAGUUCCAAGCCACAGCCAGACCGGGGCAGUCAGGAAGGGGGUGCCCAGAGAGGGCGUGGAAGUCUUCCGCCCUCCCCUGUGCCUUGUGGGGGAAUCUCUGUAGUCGUGCCCCAGGACCCUUGGCCAGUGGGUGGCUCACAUUUCCCUCAGUCAUCCCAAGAAACUCAAAACCACUGUAAGGCCGGAUGCCUCAUCAGGAGCCCGGACAGCCACCCAGCUCUGCACCCAGUACCCAGCUCUGCACCCAGCCUUCCAGUUGGGAAUUCCGGUUGAUGCAACCCUAACCAUAUCUUGCACCAAAAAACCCGCCCGACAACCUGCCAAUCAAUAACGGCCCAAUCCCGCUCCCCCAGAGCCAAUCAGAGCACCCAGCUCUUGUUCAUUCCUCAUAGCCGCAAAAACCCCACGCCCCAGGAAGUCAGUGUGACUUCUCUGUCCCCCUUUCUCUGGACCAUACAACCUUGCCCAGGAGCUGAAUAAACUGGCAUUUAAUUUUCUUAUACUGGCUUCAGUUUCUUCAUUUUAAACUUGGCAGUAACCCUUACAAGUGGUGCUGAAACCUGGGAGCAGUUCAAGACCCCUCCUGGGGAAACUGACUCCUGCACCCUAAGCUGAACCAGGGAGCCGCCACCCCUCCAAUUGUCUGCAGCCAUCACUCGCCAUUGAGAAACGCCUAGGGUCAUCUUCCACCAAGCCUACUGCUUACACCAAAGAAUUCCGCUACCUCACCCAGGCUUACCACCUCACCUGCCAUGGUACCUGUGUGAUUCUGUCCUCCACCCUCACCCCAGACGAGUGAGACCGCAUCCUUAUGGCGGCCCGGGCACACGCUGAUCAGGUACAUCUCACAAUCAGAUGCCAGUAGGUGGGGCAGCGGUCCCCAAGGUCGACCCUAAUUGGAAUUAUCAAACUGGUCAGGAUGGCCACCGCUGCUGAGACCAAAUGCUACCGUGCCUCGCAGGCAUGCAAAGCACAGCCCAAAAGGUAGUUAAUUAUGAUAAGUUGAGGGAAAUAACUCAGGGUCCCGAUGACAACCCAGCUGCCUUCCUUGACCAAUUAACUAAUGCUAUGAUCCUCUAUACCCGGCUAGAUCCAGCCUCCAUAGCAGGGGGCUACAGUCCUAGCCACCCAUUUCAUCUCUCAGUCAGCGGCUGACAUUAGAAAGAAACUUAAAAAGGCUGAGGAGGGCCCCCAAACUCCCAUACGAGACCUGGUAAACAUGGCAUUUAAAGUUUUUAAUGGCCGAGAGGAAAAGGCUGAGGCCACCCUCCAGGCCUGUCUACAGCAAAAGGUAAGCCUCCAAACCCAAGCUCUUGUGGCAGCCCUGAAGCCGGCAGCCCACCAGGCGCCUGGUGGAGGGGGUCCAUCAAAACCUGUCAAGAACUCCGGAGGCAUUCCGCCUGGGCCCUGUUUCAAGUGCGGUCAGGAGGGACACUGGGCACGUCAGUGUCCAUGUCCCUGACUACCUACCAAGCCCUGCCCAGACUGCAAGCGGCUGGGACACUGGAGCAGUGAUUGACCGUCCCGGACUACAGGCCCACCCCCCACACCUCUAUGUGGAGGGCAGGCUGGUCCGUAGGAAGCAAUCCCAUUGCUUGAACUUCUCAGCCUUCUGGACAACUGACGCAGCCCGGACUUGAAGACACCCAUCACCCUUGCUGAGCCCAGGGUAGCGCUGCAGGUAGCGGUUCUCGACCUCGAGGACGCCUUCUUUACCAUUCCCCUCCACCGAGUCCUGCUUUCUCUUUGCCUUCACCUGGACUGAUCCUGACCAACCUGUCACAACAGCUCACCUGGACGGUCCUGCGUCAGGGGUUUCGAGACAACCCCCACAUUUUUGGACAAGCCUUGGCAGCCGACCUUCGCUCCUGCCCCCUUCAACCCAGUCUCCUCCUCCAGCACGUGGAUGACCUGUCACUUUGUAGCCCCUCCCUCUCCCUCUCCCAGCAGCAUGCUGCCACUCUCCUUAACUUUCUCCGAUCUCAGGAUACCGAGUAUCUCCCUCCAAAGCACAGUUAUCAGUCACCUCGGUGGUCUACUUGGGCAUUUGCCUCACCCCCAAAACUAAAAGCCUAACGACAGAUCGCCAGAAAGCACUUCUUUCACUGCAGCCCCAGGAGACUGACCAGAUUCUCUUCUUUUUAGGAUUUGUAGAAUUUUUCAGCCACUGGGUACCUAACUUUUCCUCUCUAGCUAAACCUCUGUAUGUGGAAGCUAAGGACACCCCCACGGGACCUCUCUCCCAUGCUGAGGUUGUAAAAUGGGCUUUUAAAACCCUCCGAACUGCUCUGUCCACUGCACCCCCACUUCAUCUGCCAGACCUCAAUCGCCCCUUUUGUCUGUUCACUGAUGAGAAACAGGGCGUUGCUGUCGGGGUUCUAACCCAACCCCUUGGUCUUGUGUUCCACUCUGUAGCCUCCUUAUCGAAGCAACUUGACCCCACGGUCAGGGGUGGCAGCCUUGCCUGCGGGCCCUGGGAGCAGCAACGGAACUUACCAAGGAAUCCCUAAAACUGGCCCUGGGCCAGCCCAUCUCAGUGUUCUCUCCUCACGGGCUUACCGACCUCCUCUCCCACAAAUCUCUCCCUCACCUAGGGCCCUCUCAUCUGCAGGAGUUCCACCUGCUCUUCAUUGCAAAUCCCUCAGUCAGCCUUCACCCCACUUCCCCACUCAACCCUGCUACUUUGCUUCCUCUCCCAUCCCUUCCCCCUUCCCUAGUUCACUCCUGCCCUGAACUAAUGGAUGCACCUGCCAAACCUCGGGAGGGCCUAUCCGACCUUCCCCUGCCUAACCCAGACCUUACCUUCUAUGUGGAUGGAAGUUCAGUAACAACAGCCGACGGGAGGUGAAAGGCAGCCUGUGUGGUACUCACAGAUUCAGCCACCCUCGAAGCACGUCGUCUCCCUGAUGAAACCACAUCAUAAAAGGUGGAGCUCAUUGCCCUAACCCGAGCUCUCACACUAGCACAGGGAAAGCGAGCAAAUAUCUAUAUUGACUCAAAAUAUGCCUUUCUUAUUACCCAUUGCCACUCUGCCCUCUGGAGAGAGAGGGGAUUCCUUACCCCAAAACAGUCCCCCAUAAUCAAUGCUACACAGAUCUCCAACCUUUCCCAGGCCUUAUCACUGCCCAGGGAGGUUGCAAUCAUACACUGCCGAGGACACCGGGCCCAGCAUGAUGCCGUCUCCCGGGGCAAUGCGUGGGCAGACACAGCAGCAAGAUCUUUAAGGCCAAGUUGACCCCCUACCCCGUUCUCUUCCUUACCACGGCCACACAGCCUGUAUACUCACCAUCAGAAAAACAGGACCUCAUACUGAAAGGGGGAACAGAAUCUAAUCGGGGCUGGAUCUUCCUAAAUAAUAGAAUCGCCCUUCCCGGGAACAGGCCCCUAAAAUUACUGCUGAAAUCCACCAAUCCUUACAUAUGGGGCCUAAGACGUUAUACCGCUUUGUAUAGCCCCUCCUUUUCUCACCAGGUCUGCAACAAACAACUGGGCAGGUACACAAGGCAUGUGUUACUUGCUCUAAGGUCUCGCCUCAGGGAGGCUUAAGGCCACAGUUUCCUACCCACCAAAUGUGGGGCAACCUACCGGCCCAAGACUGGCAAAUUGACUUCACUCAUAUGCCCACUCACAAAAAGCUCAGCUACCUCCUAACUUUCGUAGAUACCUUUUCAGGUUGGAUUGAAGCCUUCCCCACCUCCCGGGAGACAGCAGACACGGUGGCCUCCCUCCUUACUCAAGAAAUCAUCCCUUGCUUCGGCCUACCUGCCACCAUCCAGUCGGACAAUGGUCCAGCACUUACGGCCCAAGUAGUCCAGCUAGUUGCCAAGUCCCUCAGCAUCUCCUGGAAACUACACAUCCCUUAACAUCCUCAGUCGUCAGGUAAAGUUGAACGGGCCCACAGCAUCCUCAAAGACCAUCUGGCCAAACUUGCUAUUGAGGUAAAACUCUCUUGGCCCACACUCCUACCUCUUGCCCUGGCCUGGGUCCAGGCCACCCCACAGGGGCCAAUGGGCCUGAGCCCCUCUGAAUUGCUGUACGGCCGGCCUUUCCUGGUUUCCCAUAAUCUCCCUGUAAAACCGCCCCCACUGGCUUCCUACCUUCCCUUCCUCUCCUCCGCCACCUGCUUAGGGAGCACGCGGACCACACCCUCCCUGUUCCAGGACCGGAGGACCCCCACCCAGCAACACGUCUCCAACCAGGUGACAGCGUUCUCCUCUGAAAGCUCAAACCAGCAUCUUUGCAGCCCAGGUGGUCGGGACCUCACAUUGUUAUCCUAACCACCCCCACAGCGGCCAAACUCCUGGGUCACACUCUGUGGUACCAUGUGUCCCACCUCAAGCUGGCCCCCCAAAAUGACCAGUGGAAAUCCGAACCCCUGGGCCCCACUCACCUCCACCUCACCGUGGCCCCAACCCAUCGCCCCCUAACCCUUCAGAGCCUCCUCCUGACAGUCCUGAUUCUCCUCUUGAGGCCAACUCAUAUGUUUGGCGCUUCUACAUCCAGGAAUCCUGGGCUGAGGUUCCCACCACCAGGACUCACUACAUUGCCCAAGCAGACUGCCAACCCACUGGCUGCCAGUCAGAAGUAACAACUGAGAUCCAAAAAACAAAAACCAAAACUCUACAAAUCGGGUUCUCUGCUCAUGGCCUGUGCUUUCUCUAUGACCAAUACUAUGACUAUUCCAUUGGUGGAACACCACCGCCCAUGUAAUUCUUGUCAUUCAUGUAGCACAGGAAGUUGCCCACAUCUAGGAUCCUUGGGUAAAACAGCAUGUCUUCACCUCCGACAUGUGAGGACCCGGCACCAACUUAACGUAUCACCUUGUUCCAAGUACACCCUCAAAAUUUCUCUCUCUGCCAUGAGACAGCCAGCAGCUCCAGGCCCAGAUUUAACACCACAGUAAAGGUCCGCAUAAGGGAAAUUUCCAGGGUAGCCGUAAACCAGAUGCUACUUCCCCCCAUGUCUGACUCCCAACCGAGGCACCAGCCAACUGACCCUUCUCCACAACUCCGCCCCUAAUCAGCAGGAAGUAGCCUCAUCAGGAGGCUGGAAAGCCAUCCAGCUCUGCACUCAGCACCCAGCUCUGCACCCAGCCCUCCAGUCGGGAAUUCUGGCUGAUGCAACCCUAACCAAAUCUUGCACCAAAAAACCCGACAACGUGCCAACCAAUAGCGGCCCAAUCCUGCUCUCCCAGAGCCAAUCAGAGCACCCAGCUGUUGCUCGUUACUCACAGCCACAAAAACCCCACACCCCAGGAAGUCAGUGCAACUUCUCUGGCCCCCUUUCCCUGGACCAUAGAACCUUGCCCGGGAGCUGAAUAAACUGGCAUCUUUAUACUGGCCUCAGCUUCUUCAUUUUAAACUCAGCAAUAACCUUUACAACCACCACCUUGCUUAAUUCAUGAAGGCUGAGCUUUACUAUAUGCCCUCAAAAA
This is a long non-coding RNA of Callithrix jacchus (white-tufted-ear marmoset), 7334 nucleotides long. RefSeq lists it as uncharacterized. The record is from RefSeq and is a predicted model, not a curated record. Lineage: Eukaryota; Metazoa; Chordata; Mammalia; Primates; Cebidae.